This 259-nucleotide ribosomal RNA is filed under the name uncultured archaeon. Its description in RNAcentral is "partial 16S ribosomal RNA". It matches the Rfam family "Archaeal small subunit ribosomal RNA", at positions 748 to 1009 of the family's 1478-position model. The record is from RNAcentral.
UAGGCGUAAAUGAUGCGAGUUAAGUGUGGGGGCAUCUACGAGAUGGCCCUGUGCUGUAGGGUAGCCGUUAAACUCGCUGCCUGGGGAGUACGGUCGCAAGGCUGAACUUAAGGAUUGGCGGGGGAGCACCACAAGAGGUGGAGGCUGCGGUUCAAUUGGAUUCAACGCCGGACAUCUCACCAGGGGGCGACAGCAGAAUGAUGGCCAGGUUGAUGACCUUGCUUGACAAGCUGAGAGGAGGUGCAUGGCGUAGUCGUGU